RNAcentral lists this long non-coding RNA (1074 nucleotides) under Theobroma cacao (cacao). RNAcentral describes it as "long non-coding RNA (TCAC_LNC006407)". Lineage: Eukaryota; Viridiplantae; Streptophyta; Magnoliopsida; Malvales; Malvaceae. The record is from RNAcentral.
AAUUUAAUUUUCGUAGUGUAAAAGCUAAAUAUAUUCAUACAUACUUUAAAGCAGAGAACUGAAGUAUAAAAUUACUUUUACAGUGGCACAUGGGCCCCCAACUAACCAAUAAGGUGCGAGUCUGUGAGUCUACAAUUUUGUCGAUGCAAGGCUAACUGAAGUCCUUAAUGCAAUCGACUAUCUACCAGCUAUCCCGACCCUGAAAUGUGGGGAAUUGAGGGUGGUGAGAUUAUAAAAUCUCAGUGAGUAAACAAUUACCAUCAAAAACAUCUAAACUCGAGUAGAUGGAGACAAUAUAAAAAAAAAAGCGUUAUAUUUCAAUAAUGUUCAUAACGCAAAAUUCGUUUCGAUCUAUACCAAAUAAUUUCUUUUCAUCAAAAUUUCUCUGGCUUAUGAGUUUCUUAAACUUGGCCCCUGCCAGAAUCAUUCUCGCAGGUACCUUCGUCAAGGUAUGUUCAAUGACCCGUACCCAUAAACAUGUUUUCACAUUUGACACACAGCCGUUCCUUGGCGUUGGCUGAGUCUCACUCUCAUGUGGUGGCUCGAAUGUGAGGUGCACUCAAAUCAUACCUCAGGAGAUACUUCACCCAACAUCUCCCCCUGGAGGUAAGUAUAUAAUUGAGUUACCGUGCCCCUCUCAUAGGCAGUCCACGGAAACCCCCACCACUGCAGUGACCGUUUAAUAUACCACUAGACCUAUAAAAAUUCUAGUAGCAUAAUAUGGUGAAUAAAAUGUAAUCCAGUCUACCGAGACCAAUCCAAAACUAUUCAUAUAUUUCAUGCCAACCCCAAAAAUUUAGCCAUCAUGCUACCAUAGUGUCAUAAGCCCCAAUUUCAAUAACAUAUAAAAUCAAAAAUUUCAACACAGUCUCCAUAUACUCAAUUUUCCCAAAACAAUAUUUGAUUUCAAAACCAGUAUAAAUCUCAUUUUUAUUAAAAAAAUAUUUUAAUUAGAAUACAUAAUAUUUUAUAAUUUAAGCUCACCAUUCAAUAAAAGCAUCAAACAAGUAUAAUAACUCUAGAUAUUUAAGACGAUAAGUUGUCCACUCACAGUUUUAUGAGUCGAUGUACUCC